UACGAGGGGGGCAAGCGUUGUUCGGAAUUAUUGGGCGUAAAGGGCGCGUAGGCGGUUUGACAAGUCUGAUGUGAAAUCUAUGGGCUCAACCCAUAGCCUGCAUUAGAAACUGUCGGGCUUGAGUAUGGGAGAGGUGAGUGGAAUUUCCGGUGUAGCGGUGAAAUGCGCAGAUAUCAGGAGGAACACCAAUUGCGAAGGCAGCUCGCUGGGACGUUACUGACGCUGAGACGCGAAAGCGUGGGGAGCAAACAGG
This 253-nucleotide ribosomal RNA is filed under the name uncultured bacterium. RNAcentral's name for it is "partial 16S ribosomal RNA". It matches the Rfam family "Bacterial small subunit ribosomal RNA", at positions 524 to 776 of the family's 1533-position model. The record is from RNAcentral.